RNAcentral lists this ribosomal RNA (253 nucleotides) under uncultured bacterium. RNAcentral describes it as "partial 16S ribosomal RNA". It matches the Rfam family "Bacterial small subunit ribosomal RNA", at positions 524 to 776 of the family's 1533-position model. The record is from RNAcentral.
UACGUAGGUGACAAGCGUUGUCCGGAAUUACUGGGCGUAAAGCGCGUGUAGGCGGCCUUGCAAGUUGGAUGUGAAAGCCCACGGCUCAACCGUGGAAGCGCAUCCAAAACUGCAUCGCUCGAGUCUCGGAGAGGAAGGUGGAAUGCUUGGUGUAGAGGUGAAAUUCGUAGAUAUCAAGCAGAACACCUGCGGCGAAGGCGGCCUUCUGGACGAUGACUGACGCUGAGACGCGAAAGCGUGGGGAGCAAACAGG